RNAcentral lists this ribosomal RNA (467 nucleotides) under uncultured bacterium. RNAcentral describes it as "partial 16S ribosomal RNA". It matches the Rfam family "Bacterial small subunit ribosomal RNA", at positions 28 to 507 of the family's 1533-position model. The record is from RNAcentral.
GAUGAACGCUGGCGGCGUGCUUAACACAUGCAAGUCGAACGGAAAGGCCCAAGCUUGCUUGGGUACUCGAGUGGCGAACGGGUGAGUAACACGUGGGUGAUCUGCCCUGCACUUCGGGAUAAGCCUGGGAAACUGGGUCUAAUACCGGAUAGGACGAUGGUUUGGAUGCCAUUGUGGAAAGUUUUUUCGGUGUGGGAUGAGCUCGCGGCCUAUCAGCUUGUUGGUGGGGUAAUGGCCUACCAAGGCGUCGACGGGUAGCCGGCCUGAGAGGGUGUACGGCCACUUUGGGACUGAGAUACGGCCCAGACUCCUACGGGAGGCAGCAGUGGGGAAUAUUGCACAAUGGGCGCAAGCCUGAUGCAGCGACGCCGCGUGGGGGAUGACGGCCUUCGGGUUGUAAACUCCUUUCGCUAGGGACGAAGCGUUUUGUGACGGUACCUGGAGAAGAAGCACCGGCUAACUACGUG